GCUAACAAACUAAAGUUUUAGGGCUAUGUUUCGGCCAUUGUUUUGAGGGACUCCUCUGUUGGUU
This 64-nucleotide transfer RNA is filed under the name Paradiplozoon opsariichthydis. Its description in RNAcentral is "tRNA-Arg". The record is from RNAcentral. Lineage: Eukaryota; Metazoa; Platyhelminthes; Monogenea; Mazocraeidea; Diplozoidae.